RNAcentral lists this non-coding RNA (144 nucleotides) under Candidatus Buchananiibacteriota. Its description in RNAcentral is "Candidatus Buchananbacteria SAM-I sequence". It matches the Rfam family "SAM riboswitch aptamer (S box leader)". Rfam says of the family: The SAM riboswitch is found upstream of a number of genes which code for proteins involved in methionine or cysteine biosynthesis in Gram-positive bacteria. The record is from RNAcentral.
AAUUUAUCAAGAGUGCGGUUAGAGCCCUGGCUCAAUGACCCGCCGGCAACCUCCUCCUACGCUAAAGCUUCGGAGGAAAGGUGCCAAAUCCAGCCUACGGCCAUCAUAGCAUUUGCGAAGAUGGCACCGAGGGAAAGAUAAGUG